GCGGGGUCGGGCUCGGGCUCGGCUGCCUGAUCCCGAGGGCCGCUGCCGCCGAGGGCCGGGCAGGUUGCGGCGAGGGCCGGGGGCGCCUCACGGGGCGGCUCUGGGCCGGGCCGGGCUGCGGGACCGGCGGCCGCCGCGCCCUGAGAUGGCUUUUAUCCACCGAGCCUUGUAAACAGAAGUCUUCGGUUCUCAGAUUAAUAUGGUUUAUGACCUUAGGACAGCUUCUGAAGUUAGUGCUGAAAGUAGCAUGUUUCUACAAAAGCAGCUUUUGUGUGCGCGCUCUCACAUAGCAGUCGGCAGAAACCCACAGUCCAUUAAGAGGAACUAGUAUGGCAAGAUAACUUUGUGAUGUCUCAUCGUACAAGCCCAAAAGGACAUCAACGAUACUCAGAAAGUGGGAGUUUUGAAAAAUGGUUUGAAUGUAACUUCCAGCUAUUGCGUCCAGCACUUCUCAGCAAGACUCAGAAGUUGUACGCUGCUGGAGUUGUUCUUCCCUGCGUCAGGACCCGCACGCAAGGAUCAGGUCACGCCUGGAAUUCUGUUUCAUAAGCUGAAGACGGUGCAUUCCUAAAUCUUGCCUGAGGGGCUUUGUUUUUUUUUCUGUGGAAAAGGGUUUUAUUCCCUGGAUAAUGUGGGGGCCCUUUAAGUUCUCCAGCAUUUCAACAUCUUUCUUUAUUUGUAGGUCCCAGUCGCUACUCUGAGCACAGUCGUUCAAUGUAGUUUAUUCUGCCAAAGUGAAAAUAACUGUGAUGUGACUAUGAGAGGUAGUUGUAUAAACAAAACAAUUCUCGUUUGGGUUUAAAUUUUUAAAAUCACCUAUUUCCAGUAUUUGUUGUUUCUCUUGCUUGUCUGAAGGGAAUAAAUUUUGUUUAAUAGGGAAACAGAACCACGCACUUGACUUAAAUGAGAAGCAGCUACCAGGCUCUGCUUGCUCCUUUGUGCCUAGACGUCUGUGAUCCAAUCUGGCUGUCCAGGAACAGCCCCAGACGUGGUGUUCUGACUGCUUACACUUCAGCUGACGGGAAUCAGGAUUCAGAUGGUACUCUGCGCCUGUUCAGAAACAAAGGCAAGCACAAAUUUAAACCAACUUAAAUGUAUGUUUGAUCUAGCACAGAACGUCUUUGAAGUGUCUACAGUCAAGAAACAAUCCUCUGGGGAUGAAAAUACACAUCUGCAAGUGGUCAAGCCCAGUCUGGGGAAGUUAAACUGUAGUGUCCGUACUAGCAACCCCAUCGGUGCUAGGUGGGAAGAGAUUGAUACAGGUCUAGGGAUUGAGCAUGCUGGUUUCUGUAUCGGCAUGAAGUUCUUGCAUCAGUAUCGUAACCCUUUCUGUCUGUCUUGAAAAUUCCAGUGUAGUCUACUAAAUAGGUAUAUAUGCCCCGCUUUUUUAUGUUUUUUUUUUUCUAUUUUCUUUAAACCAGUGCUGUACUAGAGAAACACAGUAUCCUUGGUGCUGGAGUCUUUAAAAACUUCUAGCUAUUGCAGAACUCUGCACUAUUUCUCCACAGCAAUGCAGACUAUUGGAAGCACCCAAUCUCACUUUUUCUAAUUUCUUCCAGAAAAGAUCCUAUUAAAAAUUCUGGUCCUUCUCUUCAAAGAAAGGUCUGAGGUUACUUAAAGUUUAACUUGAAAGUUGAAAUACUUGGGUCAGAGGCUAUUUAAGGUUCUGCAUAUACCCUGAAGCAAGGACUGCAGUUAUGAUUUCUGGUGAAGUUCUCCAUAAUACGGACGAAGCUGAAAGUUGUCGGUUACUGAAUUCCUUCAAGGGCUGGUGCUGAAAAGUGAAAUAGAUUCUGCUAACAAUUAGGGACCUCAGGAACCUCGCUUCAAGUGAAACAGCAUUUUCCCAGAGCCACCGCGUGGCUGAGGCUGGAGGCACCUCUGGGUCCCUCUGGCCCAACGCCCCCCAGCAGGGCCACCCCCAGCUGGUGCCCAGCCCACGUCCGGCUGCUGGAGCUCUGCAGGAGGGCCCCCAGCACCUCUCGGCACAGCCUGUGCCGGGGCUGCAGCACUGCGGGCACAGAACAUAAAGCAAACCUAUGAUAGGAAGACACUGCAUUGCAUAUGUGUCUUUGCCGUAGGAGAAUGUAAGAACGCUUUGACAGGUGUUAAUCACUUUUGUUAAUGCACUGUUUGGAGGAAACGCAAAGCUGAUAAUUCACAGCAUGUUUUGAGCAAGCUUGAUAAUGGACUGCUGGUACUGUUUUACUGUUGCUACUACCUGAGAAACGGGGUUUUAGAGAAAUGCGAUGUCGUGAAUUCAAAUAAAAUUUGAUCUUUUCUUGUGUCGUGGAA
Molecule: long non-coding RNA, 2295 nt
Organism: Cygnus atratus (black swan)
Lineage: Eukaryota; Metazoa; Chordata; Aves; Anseriformes; Anatidae
Exons: 4
Source: RefSeq, a predicted model, not a curated record